RNAcentral lists this ribosomal RNA (274 nucleotides) under uncultured bacterium. RNAcentral's name for it is "partial 16S ribosomal RNA". It matches the Rfam family "Bacterial small subunit ribosomal RNA", at positions 523 to 796 of the family's 1533-position model. The record is from RNAcentral.
AUACGGAGGGUGCAAGCGUUACUCGGAAUUACUGGGCGUAAAGGACGCGUAGGCUGGUUUGCAAGUCAGGGGUGAAAGCCUACAGCUUAACUGUAGAACUGCUCUUGAAACUGCUUACCUAGAGUAUGGGAGAGGUGAAAGGAAUUAGUGGUGUAGGGGUAAAAUCCGUAGAGAUCACUAGGAAUACCGAUUGCGAAGGCGUUUCACUGGAACAUUACUGACGCUGAGGCGUGAAAGCGUGGGGAGCAAACAGGAUUAGAUACCCUAGUAGUCC